CCUACGGGAGGCAGCAGUGGGGAAUAUUGGACAAUGGGGGGAACCCUGAUCCAGCCAUGCCGCGUGUGUGAAGAAGGCCCUCGGGUGGUAAAGCACUUUCAGUGAGGAAGAACGCCUGGUGGUUAAUACCCAUCAGGAAAGACAUCACUCACAGAAGAAGCACCGGCUAACUCCGUGCCAGCAGCCGCGGUAAUACGGAGGGUGCGAGCGUUAAUCGGAAUUACUGGGCGUAAAGCGCGCGUAGGUGGCUUGAUAAGCCGGUUGUGAAAGCCCCGGGCUCAACCUGGGAACGGCAUCCGGAACUGUCAAGCUAGAGUGCAGGAGAGGAAGGUAGAAUUCCCGGUGUAGCGGUGAAAUGCGUAGAGAUCGGGAGGAAUACCAGUGGCGAAGGCGGCCUUCUGGACUGACACUGACACUGAGGUGCGAAAGCGUGGGUAGCAAACAGGAUUAGAUACCCGAGUAGUC
Molecule: ribosomal RNA, 465 nt
Filed under: Vreelandella stevensii
Lineage: Bacteria; Pseudomonadati; Pseudomonadota; Gammaproteobacteria; Oceanospirillales; Halomonadaceae
Description: partial 16S ribosomal RNA
Rfam family: Bacterial small subunit ribosomal RNA
Source: RNAcentral